CGGAAUGCAAAUCGCUUGCUUAGAAGCUUGCUUAUAGCCAAAGCAGCAUAGGAUAUGUGUGGACAGUCGGAAUACUUAUGCUUUAGCUAAAUAUUCAGCAAAUUCACUUUUAAUCCUACCCAGAGGUCACGAGUAUUACAUCUUCCCAGGAGACCUCUAGGUGUGAAGGCCCAAUUUAAGAACAAUGGCAGGCGAUUGUGCGUGACAUAAAUUUUACUGACUCUACUGGCCAUCUCAGCCCUGCCGUCCUGAUCUCUGGUGCCCUGGCGGACAGAAACCCCUCACUGGAUUUAUCCGGCCUCCUGAGAAGGAGCAUGUUAAUCAAAUUUACUCCUAGCCUGUUCUUCAAACUUGUCAUCUACAUUCAUUCUCAUUACCCUCCCUGACUCUUCUGAGUCAUCUCACCUGAAGGUCCGAGAGCUCCGUCUGAGGCGCUGUGGUCAACCACGUAGACAGAUCAUGUUUGUAUUCUUUCCUGAUCUCAUGAAAGUAGGAUUGUGACUCAGUGACAUUCUCCAGAGAGCUAAGCUUUUAUUCCUGUGUCCAGGCAAGGAGUCCGUCACACAAACAGUGAGGGGUUGCUAAGCAAUGGAAUACACACCACAUUAGUAGUAGCCGUGGUGGCGUGUGCUCCCAGGGCCAGGAUAUAUGGGGGAUUCCAAGCUAACGUCCUGGGGACACAGGUGAUUGCCCCCCUUCAAGCUCCAGCGCAAGUCCCCACAUCAAAGAGAUCUUUAACCUUGACACAUCUUGUCAUUUCUCUUCGUGCUGCCAAAUGCAAUUUGUUUUCUCCCCACGUCUCCAGUUGCAAUCAGCACCUACUUACCCCAGUAAGGUUCCUUUACUUACUCCAUCAUACUGACAUUUAAUUUAUUAUCUCUCCCCAAAUUCCAAUAUGUUAAACACUUUGUUUCUAUUCUGAGUCGCUCAGAGGAGACUCUCAUGACCUGCCAAAGGCUCCGUCAGUUGCCAAGUGCUGCUGAGGUGGCCCCCAGCUAUAUUACGUCUGAUUAGAGCCAGGUUUCUGAUGUGUCUGGUUCUGACCAGUUGGAACUCUGUUUCGGGCCAAGUUGGAAGGAUCAGACUUCCCAUACAAACAGUGUAGUCACUAAUCCAUAUACCCUUUCCCUGCCUUCAUCGAGGAGAAUACAGCAGAUGUUCCCCCACAAUAUUUUUCAGCUGCGUUAUGUGCCACGAAACCCACUUAAUCUUGGAGAAAUGACAAUGUGCAAAAAAAAUCACCAAGCUGUCGUCUUGCUUCAGAGUUAGGGGUUUCGGCUGCCAGGUACGUAAUAUUAAC
RNAcentral lists this long non-coding RNA (1300 nucleotides) under Vulpes vulpes (red fox). Its description in RNAcentral is "lncRNA (ENSVVUG00000002827.1)". Lineage: Eukaryota; Metazoa; Chordata; Mammalia; Carnivora; Canidae. The record is from RNAcentral.